UCCCUAACGAAAAGAUACUGUGAACACGCCAUGAGUGCAUUGAAGCAAAUGUAGUUGAUCGUCUGACAAAUCUGGAAGGAUUAUGGCUGCCCGAAUCCUUCUAUAGAGAAUGAGACUUUGUUAAAGAGCAUAAUCGUCCUUAGUAGAAUCUAGGGAAACACGUUCGAUUGUUCUCAUUCGCACUAUAACAUUCAGUCUAAAGUAUUAUUCUGAAAGGUAUGUUUUGUAAAUUGCAGCAAAGUGAAAGAAGGUCAUAAUCAAUAAAUAUCGAAAAAUUAGAUAAAGUUUUAUAAAAUUAUGCGCCCAUCCAAGUCGAUGACCUAUUUAAAUGAGAAUCCAAAGAACUCGUUUUAACUUAACGCCGUAUAGCGUGCACAUCUGAAAAGAGAAGCCUUUGGUGUGAUACAAAAUGUAAUAAAAGCUCUGCCAACAGUUUCAACGUCAUUUUGGAUUAUCAGUAUGAAUGAAUAACUUUGUAUAAUCUGCAAUAAGAACGAUGAUAAGCAAAUGUAUAAAGUAAAAUUAAUAGAAGAAAAGAAUCGAAAAUAAAUACAAAUAAUUUGGGACCUUAACAUCAGCAUUCAUUCAACGAAAUUGUCAAAGUUAAUAUAAGGUUUGUUCUAGCAUCAGUUUCAAACGGUUUGAAACCAUCAGCCAAUAGUGGACCAGCGCGAGUAGAGGGGAUAGCACUGGUGACUGUAUUAUGUU
Long non-coding RNA from Diabrotica virgifera virgifera (western corn rootworm), 708 nucleotides. RefSeq lists it as uncharacterized. Lineage: Eukaryota; Metazoa; Arthropoda; Insecta; Coleoptera; Chrysomelidae. The record is from RefSeq and is a predicted model, not a curated record. The transcript is spliced from 3 exons.